GACGAACGCUGGCGGCGCGCCUAACACAUGCAAGUCGAACGAGCGAGCGAGAGCUUGCUUUCUCGAGCGAGUGGCGAACGGGUGAGUAACGCGUGAGGAACCUGCCUCAAAGAGGGGGACAACAGUUGGAAACGACUGCUAAUACCGCAUAAGCCCACGACCCGCCAUCGGGUGGAGGGAAAAGGGGCAGUUCGCUUUGGGAUGGCCGCGCGUCCGAUUAGUUAGUUGGUGAGGUAGCGGCCCACCAAGGCGACGAUCGGUAGCCGGGCUGGGGGGUGGAACGGCCAGGUUGGGGAUGCGACCCGGACCAGACCCCUACGGGAGGCAGCAGUGGGGAAUAUUGCACGAUGGGGGAAACCCUGAUGCAGCGACGCGGCGUGGAGGAAGAAGGGCGUUGGAUUGUAAACUCCUGUUGUAGAGGAAGAUAAUGACGGUACUCAACAAGGAAGUGACGGCUAACUACGUG
RNAcentral lists this ribosomal RNA (466 nucleotides) under uncultured bacterium. RNAcentral's name for it is "partial 16S ribosomal RNA". It matches the Rfam family "Bacterial small subunit ribosomal RNA", at positions 28 to 507 of the family's 1533-position model. The record is from RNAcentral.